This is a small nuclear RNA of Choloepus hoffmanni (Hoffmann's two-fingered sloth), 107 nucleotides long. Lineage: Eukaryota; Metazoa; Chordata; Mammalia; Pilosa; Megalonychidae. The record is from Ensembl.
GUGCUCACUUUAGCAGCACAUAUAUUAAAACUGGAAUGAUACAAAGAAGAUUAGCAUGAGCCCUUUGCAAGGAUGAUAUGCAAAUUCAUGAAGCAUUCCUUUUUUUU